RNAcentral lists this long non-coding RNA (846 nucleotides) under Olea europaea subsp. europaea. Lineage: Eukaryota; Viridiplantae; Streptophyta; Magnoliopsida; Lamiales; Oleaceae. The record is from RNAcentral.
CCAAAUUGUCAUUCUCUUUCUUUAAUUUGUCAUCUUCUUUGCCUCCAAAAUUUUUUCCCCAAAAUUAUUCAUUCCCUCCCUUUGUGCAUCUGCUUAUUUGGCUCAAACCUAAUUCUAAUUCUUCAAUUGAUGGACAUAUAUGUACCGACAUUUACCAGCCAAUGACUGGCUUCUUUUAAAUCCAUCCACCUCGACCUCCCCAUUGAAGAUCCUGAACGAGAAGCGUAUAGGAGUAGGGCAAUUGAUGUUAAUAUUCUGGGCAGUGGUGUGAUUGUUGGUCGUGAACGUUUCUGGCGAAACCCGGGUUUUAUGUCGAGGAUAUCUUUGUGCGGGAAUGUUACAGAAGGAAGGUGCUGGGGAAGAUGCUGUUGUCCGCAGUUGUAUCGCAGGCUGCAAAGAUGGGGUACGGGAGAGUGGAAUGGGUGGUGCUGGAUUGGAAUGUGAAUGCCAUUAAGUUUUACGAGCAGAUGGGAGCCCAGAUAUUCCCAGAUUGGAGAAUUUGGCGACUCACUGGUGAUGCCCUUCAGGCUUAUGCUAAUAUUAACUUUUGAUUUGACCAUAGUUAAUCCUUAUUUCCAUGACUAUUACUGGAGGAUUUUAUCCAUUUCUUGGUAUUUUUUUGAUUUGGAUAAGGAAAAGUAUGUUGUACUCCGCUGGUUAUGAUUGGGCAAUUUAUUAACCGGAUUACUUUUGACUGUUGAGUAAUUGGUUGGAUUGCAAUGUUUUGUUCUCUUUUAUUGCUGAAAUCUGAAUAUAAGAUAAGUACAUGACUAUUGCAAGUGUCGCUAGGAAUGGCUGUAAUGGGAAUGAUUGAAUGAGUUUGCUAUAUUAUGCAUGAGAUGUUGG